Molecule: ribosomal RNA, 497 nt
Filed under: uncultured bacterium
Lineage: Bacteria
Description: partial 16S ribosomal RNA
Rfam family: Bacterial small subunit ribosomal RNA
Source: RNAcentral
GAUGAACGCUGGCGGCGUGCCUAAUACAUGCAAGUCGAGCGAACGGACGAGAAGCUUGCUUCUCUGAUGUUAGCGGCGGACGGGUGAGUAACACGUGGAUAACCUACCUAUAAGACUGGGAUAACUUCGGGAAACCGGAGCUGAUACCGGAUAAUAUUUUGAACCGCAUGGUUCAAAAGUGAAAGACGGUCUUGCUGUCACUUAUAGAUGGAUCCGCGCUGCAUUAGCUAGUUGGUAAGGUAACGGCUUACCAAGGCAACGAUGCAUAGCCGACCUGAGAGGGUGAUCGGCCACACUGGAACUGAGACACGGUCCAGACUCCUACGGGAGGCAGCAGUAGGGAAUCUUCCGCAAUGGGCGAAAGCCUGCCGGAGCAACGCCGCGUGAGUGAUGAAGGUCUUCGGAUCGUAAAACUCUGUUAUUAGGGAAGAACAUUUGUGUAAGUAACUGUGCACAUCUUGACGGUACCUAAUCAGAAAGCCACGGCUAACUACGUG